RNAcentral lists this ribosomal RNA (1338 nucleotides) under uncultured bacterium. Its description in RNAcentral is "bacterial SSU rRNA". It matches the Rfam family "Bacterial small subunit ribosomal RNA", at positions 28 to 1387 of the family's 1533-position model. The record is from RNAcentral.
GACGAACGCUGGCGGCGCGCCUAACACAUGCAAGUCGAACGAGCGAGAGAGAGCUUGCUUUCUCGAGCGAGUGGCGAACGGGUGAGUAACGCGUGAGGAACCUGCCUCAAAGAGGGGGACAACAGUUGGAAACGACUGCUAAUACCGCAUAAGCCCACGGGUCGGCAUCGACCAGAGGGAAAAGGAGCAAUCCGCUUUGAGAUGGCCUCGCGUCCGAUUAGCUAGUUGGUGAGGUAACGGCCCACCAAGGCAACGAUCGGUAGCCGGACUGAGAGGUUGAACGGCCACAUUGGGACUGAGACACGGCCCAGACUCCUACGGGAGGCAGCAGUGGGGAAUAUUGCACAAUGGGGGAAACCCUGAUGCAGCGACGCCGCGUGGAGGAAGAAGGUCUUCGGAUUGUAAACUCCUGUUGUUGAGGAAGAUAAUGACGGUACUCAACAAGGAAGUGACGGCUAACUACGUGCCAGCAGCCGCGGUAAAACGUAGGUCACAAGCGUUGUCCGGAAUUACUGGGUGUAAAGGGAGCGCAGGCGGGAAGACAAGUUGGAAGUGAAAUCCAUGGGCUCAACCCAUGAACUGCUUUCAAAACUGUUUUUCUUGAGUAGUGCAGAGGUAGGCGGAAUUCCCGGUGUAGCGGUGGAAUGCGUAGAUAUCGGGAGGAACACCAGUGGCGAAGGCGGCCUACUGGGCACCAACUGACGCUGAGGCUCGAAAGUGUGGGUAGCAAACAGGAUUAGAUACCCUGGUAGUCCACACCGUAAACGAUGAUUACUAGGUGUUGGAGGAUUGACCCCUUCAGUGCCGCAGUUAACACAAUAAGUAAUCCACCUGGGGAGUACGACCGCAAGGUUGAAACUCAAAGGAAUUGACGGGGGCCCGCACAAGCAGUGGAGUAUGUGGUUUAAUUCGACGCAACGCGAAGAACCUUACCAAGUCUUGACAUCCCUUGACGAUGCUGGAAACAGUAUUUCUCUUCGGAGCAAGGAGACAGGUGGUGCAUGGUUGUCGUCAGCUCGUGUCGUGAGAUGUUGGGUUAAGUCCCGCAACGAGCGCAACCCUUAUGGUCAGUUACUACGCAAGAGGACUCUGGCCAGACUGCCGUUGACAAAACGGAGGAAGGUGGGGAUGACGUCAAAUCAUCAUGCCCUUUAUGACUUGGGCUACACACGUACUACAAUGGCGUUAAACAAAGAGAAGCAAGACCGCGAGGUGGAGCAAAACUCAGAAACAACGUCCCAGUUCGGACUGCAGGCUGCAACUCGCCUGCACGAAGUCGGAAUUGCUAGUAAUCGUGGAUCAGCAUGCCACGGUGAAUACGUUCCCGGGCCUUGCACU